CCAUGCAGUCGAGCGCCCCGCAAGGGGAGCGGCAGACGGGUGAGUAACGCGUGGGAAUCUACCUUUUGCUACGGAAUAACUCAGGGAAACUUGUGCUAAUACCGUAUGUGCCCUUCGGGGGAAAGAUUUAUCGGCAAAGGAUGAGCCCGCGUUGGAUUAGCUAGUUGGUGAGGUAAAGGCUCACCAAGGCGACGAUCCAUAGCUGGUCUGAGAGGAUGAUCAGCCACACUGGGACUGAGACACGGCCCAGACUCCUACGGGAGGCAGCAGUGGGGAAUAUUGGACAAUGGGCGCAAGCCUGAUCCAGCCAUGCCGCGUGAGUGAUGAAGGCCCUAGGGUUGUAAAGCUCUUUCAACGGUGAAGAUAAUGACGGUAACCGUAGAAGAAGCCCCGGCUAACUUCGAGCCAGCAGCCGCGGUAAUACGAAGGGGGCUAGCGUUGUUCGGGAAUACUGGGCGUAAAGCCGCACGUAGGCGGAUCGAUCAGUUAAGG
RNAcentral lists this ribosomal RNA (492 nucleotides) under uncultured bacterium. RNAcentral describes it as "bacterial SSU rRNA". It matches the Rfam family "Bacterial small subunit ribosomal RNA", at positions 53 to 593 of the family's 1533-position model. The record is from RNAcentral.